Molecule: small RNA, 572 nt
Filed under: Histoplasma capsulatum G186AR
Lineage: Eukaryota; Fungi; Ascomycota; Eurotiomycetes; Onygenales; Ajellomycetaceae
Description: hypothetical RNA
Source: RNAcentral
CUUUGUCCCUUAGCAGAGGAGCUGCAUAGAACUGCAUGAGGGGGUCAUAUAGUCGAAAACCAUCUUCGAUCCUGUGUAUGAUUCCUCUUUUUCAAUGCUUUUUGCUUUUCCUCAACGGUUUUUGCUUUUUAUGUCAUCUCCCUUUCCUUGGUAUUUCUUCUUUAUUCCCAUCAUAUUACUUUUCCGAGGAGUGGUUCCAUUGCGAAUAGCUAAAUGAACAACUUUAUAGGGCCAGUUAUAAGCAACACAGAUAAGCUUUGGAGCCAAGUUGUCCCUGCAGUGAUUAGGAUUGAUCGCCAGCUUAACGCCCGUGGUUCUGUCGUGCUACACCCUUAUUGACGUGUCGGACCAUUAUUUAUUGAAGUCCUAGUAAGCCAUGGAAUCCGGGGAAUGAAUUUUUGGGGGAUCGAGAAGGAUUGAGGAAGGGUGUUCAUGUUUUUUUUUUUUUUUUUUAUUUCAUUCUCUCCCAUUUUAAGGCUGCAUUAGCUCGGAAAUGAUGUGAGGUUCAUAUAUAUACUCCUAAAACGGCUAUUGCAUUAUCUGUCUACCUACAUGAAUAAAAUACUAGGAGA